Fukomys damarensis (Damara mole-rat) is the source of this 308-nucleotide unclassified non-coding RNA. Its record names the gene 7SK. It matches the Rfam family "7SK RNA". Rfam says of the family: 7SK was discovered as an abundant small nuclear RNA in the mid-70s but a possible function has only recently been suggested. Two independent studies have found that 7SK RNA binds the CDK9/cyclin T complex (known as elongation factor P-TEFb). NCBI's taxonomy places the organism in Eukaryota, Metazoa, Chordata, Mammalia, Rodentia, Bathyergidae. The record is from Ensembl.
GGAUGUAAGGGCGAUCUGGCUGUGACAUCUGCCACCCCCUUAAUUGCAGCAGUGCUUCGGUUCAUCUUCCUGUCUCCUUCCUCCCUCACCCUGCCAUGUGUGUCCCUCCUGAUGCUGUGUGCUCUGGUGGGAGAGGAUAAUCACCCUGAUACAGGAGGACCAUUUCCUUGGUCAAACGUAUAUGAGUAGCUUUGUUCAGCUGCUAGAACCUUCAAAACUGUAUACAUAUCAAUAUGUGCAGUGAUCUAUAUACUUAAAAUUGAUUAUUUAUACAGAUCUAACAACAUAAAAUGUGUUUGAUAGUACAU